CAGCACGAGUUCUCAAUGGGUGGAAAUGCAACUCAACGCUGGUGUAUGGUGUUUGUGUGUAACAACAAAUGCUGUAAGUUAUUCAUCAGCACAAUUUCAGAUAAGAUGAAAAGAGAAACAAAAUAAAAGUGGUUAGAUAUCUAACCUGAUAUGCUGUUGCAAGGAAAAUAGAACAUGCUAAAUGCACCUCAAUGUUCAGCACUGCUACAGCUGGUUGCAAUAAAGGUUGCCAGUAGUUCACAUGCUUUGCUCCAGCAAAUCCCAGUGAUGCUAAUAAAUAAGUUGUUAAAGCAUACAAAUUGAAAAAUUAUACUACCUGGUUACUCCACAGAGGAGGUCAUGCUUUAAUAGGCAAGUACGAUACACGAUUCAGCUAUCUGGGCGAUGAACAGUUGCAGAACCCAGAACACAUAAAGACCGGUGCUUGUAUUUCGGCUGCAUGGGCACUACAAGUUCUCAAAUUUAGGCUGCACACUAUUCUAAAUCAUAACGUUUGCUUGAGCAUAAAUGGACCGAAGGAUGCUGCAGU
This 529-nucleotide long non-coding RNA is filed under the name Setaria viridis. Its description in RNAcentral is "long non-coding RNA (SVIR_LNC002714)". Lineage: Eukaryota; Viridiplantae; Streptophyta; Magnoliopsida; Poales; Poaceae. The record is from RNAcentral.